AGUGAACGCUGGCGGCAGGCCUAACACAUGCAAGUCGAGCGGCAGCACGGUGAUUGCUCGCGUUUUCAGGUGGCGACGGGCGGGUGAUUCAGAGGUACAUCGCUAUCUGUUUUUUCUAGGGGGAGAACGCGGGCACUAAUACGGUAUACGUCCUUACGACGUACGGGUGGGAUCAGCGGACCUUACGCUAUUGGGUGAUCCUAGGUCGGAUUAGCUAGUUGGUGGGGUAAAGGCCUACCAAGGCGACGAUCCGUAGCUGGUCUGAGAGGAUGAUCAGCCACACUGGAACUGAGACACGGUCCAGACUCCUACGGGAGGCAGCAGUGGGGAAUAUUGGACAAUGGGCGCAAGCCUGAUCCAGCCAUGCCGCGUGGGUGAAGAAGGCCUUCGGAUUGUAAAGCCCUUUUGUUGGGGAAGAAAAGCAGCAGGUUAAUACCUCGCUGUUCUGACGGUACCAAAAGAAUAAGCACCGGCUAACUUCGUG
This 484-nucleotide ribosomal RNA is filed under the name uncultured bacterium. RNAcentral describes it as "partial 16S ribosomal RNA". It matches the Rfam family "Bacterial small subunit ribosomal RNA", at positions 29 to 507 of the family's 1533-position model. The record is from RNAcentral.